GCGCAAUCGUCAUUGUGAACCAGCCAGUGCUAAGCCAAGUGUUGGAGAUCUUCCUGGAAGGAACAACAAUUAAGUCUGCAAGCUGGGCUAAAUGUUCCUAAGACCUCUGGGCUGGAGAAGAGCUGACUAAUGGCAAAGUGGGGAGGAGGAAGCACCUUCCCUUAAGUUAGAGCCUGUCUUCACCUCUGUGCUGUGACAGUACACCUAACCUGGGCUGCAGGUUAAUAUGGACACAUAAGAAUACUGAGUCAAUAAUACACUAUCAGCUUCUUUAAGACAGUUUCCUAAAGGUAAGAGGGACGAGGUUUCUGGAAGUGGCAAUGUACUUGGGCACCUUACAGAUUCAUGUGUGAUUCCCCUGAGUAGGGGCGGUGGUCACUAGUAGAGGGAUGUCUGCAGAAAUAGGUCCAGUAGCCAAUCCACAAAGUUCUGGCUCCCUUCUUACCAGCUGGGACUACCAGGGAGAUGGAAUGGACAUGGUGAGCAAGAGCUUUUCAGUGGUCAGAAAUCAGCGGAUUUAAUGAGCCGGACAUGCCUUGAUGUGAGAUUGUUUCCUAAAGAUCAUAAGUGGCCAAAGGGUAGGAUGACUUAGUCUCUAACUUAAAUCAGCUUAAAAUGAUUCCUUAAGGAGUCCAGAGCAAUGUGUAAUUAUCCCAAGUAGCUAGCACUGCAGAAGCAUUUCAGGAAGACUUAAAUUUAGCAAUCAUUAAACUAAAAGGAGAGAAGCGUUUUCUACUGAAGAGAUGGUUUCUACUUAUUUCAAAUUUUCCAUCAAGUGAAAAAUGAAAUUGUAAAUAAGUGCCCUCUUUCUUUAUCCCUUAUGAAGUGCCUUCUUGGUUACAGAACUUAUUUACAUGAGCAGUAGUCUCUCUUAUUCACAGGUUUUAAAGGUCAACCAAGACAGGCUUUGGUGGCAGCUGGUGGUGACGGCCAGGAUCCCCAAUGUGGUCUACUGGUGGGACUACCUUGGAGUCUGCGGGGCCUUCCAGGGGAAGAGGCCACAGCGCCAACAGCCAGCCCUUCCUCCCUUUCCUCCCCCAUACCCGUGCCCACUCCUGCCGGGCCAGCCCUCAAGCAGUCCCAAGGUGUCUAAGAUUUUAAAAGACAGCUCUUCCACACAAAGAAUUUGGGGACACUGGACUUUGGUCUGUCUUUUGGGUGCUAUUCUCCAAUACUCCCAGCUGCCUAUGCUAGCCGAAUAACAGAUUUAGUACUUUUCUAGCCUUUACUUAUCAUACCCCUUUAGUUUUAGGAUAAGCAAUCAACUCAAUUACAGUUUUUGUAAGGGGAGGGAAAAUUACAUAUUAAAUGCACAUUAAUUAUGAAAAGUACAGGUUUUGGAAUUCAGGAAACAAGGAAAUUUAAUGGUUAGACCAGUCAGAUGAUUGCUAGUCACUAGCCCCUUUUCACAUGGAAGGUCUCUGAGGCUCUAAAAGGUCAGAUAACUUGUCCAAGGCCAUGCGAGUAGAGAGUGAUGGAGUCAGAGUUCCAACCACAGCCGUGCAUGUGGGCUACCCAAGACAGUGCUACCCUCGAUACCCAGUUGUCCUUGUUCCACCUAGGAUUGGCCAGCUCAUGACCCUUCAUCUCUCUGCUUCAUCCUGUGGCACUCCUCCCACCCAGCCCUCCAGGCCGUAGCCAUGGGGGGCCGUUCUCCAACCCACUGCCUGUUCUCUCACACCGCACUCCUCCCUCCCCCUCCCUGGUCCUUCCUUCCUGGCUAAAGUCUUCUCGGCCUGGGACUCAGCUUAAAUACACCUCUUUGAGAAAGUCUUUCCCUCAUCUCCUAGACCAGAAAUAUUUUCAAUCUAUAGUGAAAAAUACAUUUUACAUCAUAAUUGGAAAAAUGUAUAUACAUCUUCAAACCAUAUACAUAUACAACCAUAUACAUAUAUGGUGUUCAUUUUAUUUUUUUAAAGUGUGAAAUUCAAUGGUAUUUAGCUUAUAUUCACAGGAUUGUGCAACCAUCACCACUAAUAUUCCAGAAUAUUUUCAUCACCUCAAAAAGAAAUGUAUAUUUAUCAAUCAGUCAAACUGAAAUAAAAGUUUCAUGAGACAAUACCUUGCCUAACUUACUAUGUGAGGUGAAUGCUGAUAUUGUCUGUUCUCGUCUGUUCUGUUCCAUUUGAUUCUAUUCUUCCCAUUACAUUAGAGAAAAAUCUUUCAGUGCCUCACUACGUUGCUCUCACAUCUCAUUACUGAGUUGUAACUAACAGUUUGGAAAAGACUGCCCUAGACCAGGCCAUGCCUCCCUGCCCUGCAUGUUACAGACCAUUUUCUUCCCCUUGCAUGACCCUCAGCACACUGGCCGCUUCCUGGUAGAUGUCUAAGACUUGAUAUUCUUGGAGGGCAGGGUCUUGUGUUUGACUGUGUCCCCAGCGCCAGGUGCAGGCUGAGCAAGUCAUAGGUACUCAGUCAAUAUUGGUUGACUGAAUAAAUGUUUGCCUUUGAAUGGGAAGAAACCCAGACACUUCUUUUUGGUUAGUGUGCACACAAGUAACAUGAAAUGCAAUAAAGCUAUUAUAUUGCACUUCUAACCCCUGUAAGCCAGCAGCUAUGUAGUCUUUUUCUCAAAGAACAGGGAUUUGGGCUUGAAUUAUUCAUGUAAUUAUGUCAGUGCUCCCUUUCCCUUUGCCUCAUAAACCCAGCCUGAGUAGCCCAGUCACCAGGAGGACCCUAUAGGUGGGCUCUAUCAGUGCCAUGAGCAGUGGGCCUUCAAUAAAAACCUUCAGCAAAAGCUCUGUGUUGGGCGACUCAGCCAACGACGACCCUCCCCCUCCCCUGCGAUCUCCACUGCCCACCUGCCCUGUG
Non-coding RNA from Microcebus murinus (gray mouse lemur), 2811 nucleotides. The record is from RefSeq and is a predicted model, not a curated record. Lineage: Eukaryota; Metazoa; Chordata; Mammalia; Primates; Cheirogaleidae.